This 3914-nucleotide long non-coding RNA is filed under the name Carassius auratus (goldfish). RNAcentral describes it as "lncRNA (ENSCARG00000020486.1)". The record is from RNAcentral. Lineage: Eukaryota; Metazoa; Chordata; Actinopteri; Cypriniformes; Cyprinidae.
AGUACUACUGGUUAUCUAAUGGGAACACAUUAGUAUCUAAAUAAAAGAAUAGGAAAAUAGGAUAGAGACGAUAAGCUGCUGCAAUAAAUAAAUAAAUAGAAAAAAAGUAAAGAGAAGACUUUUAAAUAAAAAGAACAUUUACCAAUGAUACAAAAAAAUGAAAACUAUGACAAAGUUAUUAAAGAAAGUCACUAAAGGAGAGAAAGUUGUGAGGAAGGAGGCGAGCGGAGACGCGCGUCUCUGGAGUGAUUUAUUUGGCAAAUCAGGACACAAUGAGCGCAUUAUGACGCUCUAAUAGGAGAGAGUGUUUGGGGAGCCGCUAAUUGGCUGUGAUUGAGUUGCAGGCUGGGAGGAGAGAGCUGGGAUCGCGCGCGUCUGUCAGCCAAUCACCCGCUAAUCAGAGAGCGCAAAUUAAAAGAGUGCGUGUCUGGAGUCGAGGACGGGAUGAUGGCGCAGAGCCCGAGUGAUUGUGAACUUCACCAGUCAUCAGAGAUACAUGAGUCCUGAAUGGAGGUCCAGAAACUGUACUGCAUCCUCAGAUAUGAGAGUGAGGUCUAACGUUUACUGGACACGGAGAGUGAAUUAUGAUGUUUUACACUACAGUCUGGAAAGUCUCCAGAAAGACAAAUCUCAAAACUGAGAAAAUGUGAAGAAAGCGACUGGUCAAGCGCAGCUCGUCCUGAAGGUGUCACAGAUGGGACGGGUUCUGUUGGGCACCUGACGGGCCCUGGGCCCCUUCCCUCCCAUCGGACCCCCGCGGAGCACAGCCCCCUGCCUGCUUUUUGAUUUAAUUAAAGGGAAGAGGGCGCAUCAAUUUCAUUGGCGGUGCAGAGAGAUGACAGCACACAAAUUGAAAGAAAGCAGCUCGGCCGGCGGAGGAAGAGGAGGAGGCCAGCGCUUAUCAUUAACACUGAACACUGUCCUGUGUGCCGUGUAACAAGACUAGAAACAUUAUGAUCCUUCUCCCAUACACAGACCGACAGACACGUCUGAAUGGAAAGUCAGCGUCUGCUUCACUGUUCUCCUGGUGAUUUUGUCACAUAAAAACAUCACACACAUACUGAGGUUUCAAAAAGUAUAUGAACACCUGUAAACAUCAUUUUACAUUUCUUCAUUGUGGAUCUUUUUUUUUUUUUUUUUUCAGAACUAGCUUUUCAACAGGUUAAACUGUUCUAGCAUUUCAAAGUGUACUAAAUGCUUUGUUUUAAAAUGUGUUUGAUCUUCUUUCCUUAAAUGACACUGUGUAAUCUAAUCCAAAUACUUGUUUUUAUUAUUCUUUGUCCCGUUCGGUAACAUUUUUCUUGAAAGUAUUUUUUUAAUGCAUUACUCUUGCCUUACAAUCCAUUGUAUGAUCUCAUAAAUAAUUGCGACCGCAAACAAGCACCGCCAGGCUUCAUUCACCUGACAUCUGUGAUUUUUGAACACUAAUAGAAAUUCAGUUUAAUUCCAGAAGUCAGUCAUGAGCUCAGACUCGCUGCUUAUAGGGCUGGAAACAUUACCUGCAGUUUUAAAAUAGUUGAAUCUAAAGAGUCAAAUAAGUUCAAAUAUUAUUCAAAGGGAAUAUUCCAUCUAGAAGAAGAAGAGAGAGAGAGAGAGAGAGAAAAAAAAAAAAAAAACGUAUCCUGUAUGGUUAAUAAAGUUAACAGAAAGGAAACCUGAACAAUAAUAAUAAUAAAAAAAUAAAAAAAACCUUUACAUAAGAACUACUACAAUGGCAAAAUUUGUAAAAACUAAAAUUAAAGUGAAACCAAAAAGUAUAAAAUUAAAAAAAAAAAAAAAAAAAUGAUUGAAAAUAUCAAUGAAAACUAUAAUAGUGUCUCGUUGUUACUAAAAUAACUGUGGCAUGCUGUUAGUUGGUUAACUGAGCAACAUGCUCUCUGCUUCUUCAUGGUAUCUGUGUGACAAACAUCAGUCAGUUUGAGCCUGAUGCUGCUUUAGAUGAAGAUGAAGAUGUCUGACUGACUUUGAGCAAUAUCAUUGAAGUUUGGGGAACAUCAUAACAUUUAGAGAAGUGAGGGUGCAUUUGAUCUGUUCUUCCUUUGUAUUUAUUACUGAAUCUUAUAAAACGUCAGUGAAGUGUCUCCGCAGCAGUCUGGAUCUGUCUGAAGCAUACUAUGUCCUAAAAGUCUCCUCAUAAACCUGCCAAUAUCCAAAAUGAAUGACAUUUCUAUUACGAAAGUGACAGAAACACGCUUUUCACUUCUUCCGAACAAAAUUACAGGCUUUCUCUGAUUAACUAGUGACAGCUUUAUUUGAGUACUGUGGCAUUAUAACUAGCUCAAAACUCAGGAGUGUGUAAAUAAAGGAGGAAAUAAAGAGGAUCAGACGGUGUUUACGCUCAUCGGGUGUCACUGAAACACACACUGGGAUUGUGGGUGUUUUCUUGAGGUGACGCAGGUGAAACUCAGAACCGCUGCUGUGAAGCUGAGACUCACGUGAAAUGAGAUAUCUGAGCAAACAGACAUCGAUAUUAACAGACAGAUACAUUCAACUCUGCUGAGGCUAAGGAAAUCAGAUCAUAAACAGGAGAGUAAAUAAAAACAUGCAGAAAUACAAGAAAAUCAAUUACAGUGAUUUUUUUUUUUUUUUUUACUUUAUUUUAAAGAUUCACGUGAAAGCAGAUAUCUGAGCCAACAGACAUGAAAAAGAUAACAGAUUAAAAAUGCUUUGCUAUUUGUUUACCAAUAAAGCUUCAUGAAACACAUUUAGCUGCAUUUCAUUUUGUGACAGAUUCUGUAACAUGCCCGUAUGAUGCUACUAACACUCAUUCAUAAUGAAAGAAGUCUCUUGUUCACCAAGCCUGUAUUUAUUUGAUAAAAAAUACAGUAAAAACUGUAAAAUUGUGAAAUAUUAUUACAGUUUCAAACAGCUGUUUUCUGUGUGAAAGACCUCCAGUCUUCAGUGUCACAUGAUAUUCAGAAAUCAGAAUAAUAUGAUGAUUUACUGCUCAACAAACAUUUCUGAUUAUCAAAUCAAAUAUAACAUUAAAAAUGUCUUUACUGUCACUUUUGAUCAGUUUAAUGCAUCCUAGAUGAAUUAAAGUAAUAAAAAAAAAUAAAAAAACGUAAACAUUUUAAGUGCAUAAUGUCUAUAAAACAAAGAAAUCUACUAGGACACAAUUAAUUUUCAGUGAGUGGAAACGUUUUUUUUUUUUUUUUUUUUUUUUUUUUUGUCAUAUAGUUUAUCAGCAUGCUAACAGUAAAAUAAAAUAAAUAAUGAAUCAAAUAUGUGUAAUUCAGGAGCACUAUAUGUAUAAGUGAGCUUCCAGUCUUUGUAGACAACUGUCUAUGUAGGGAACAGAAGGCAACAAGAGCAGUAUUUCAGCUCAAGUCGUCGGUUUGCCAAAAAUACAACUGAAUUAAAUUCAAAACUACUACUUUACUACUUUACUGGCAAGACUGUAAAAAAUACAAUAUUGCCAAUUAUACUCUAGCACUUCCAAGAAGGCACGCUAUAAACACGGGUUUAGCUCAUGAUCUAACUGGGUGGAGUUGAAUGGUUCGCAUCCAGAGCUCUCCGCACACGGGGACGAUCAGCUGUGCGGUAGACAGUGAAUCUAAACGCGCGCGGCGGUGAGCGCGAGCCCCCGGAGGGCGAAUAUGGGACUGAACGGAGCGCGCUGCUGUACUGCCGCUUGGCUUUGAUUGUUGUGAAGACAGCAGCAGCGAGACGCGCCCGACUCCAGGCUUUUCCCAGCAUGCCCGCGGAGAGUGACACUUCCUCUGCAGUCAGAAGACGUGCGCUGAAGCGCUGCCAGCAGAUCUCAGCACCGGCCUGACAUCCAUCAGCAGCGAGCAGCUCCACCGCGGCGCCCAGCGGGAACACACUCCACCUGCGCCCGUCUGCGCUCACGCUCGGCCCGUGUGAGUCACGCGCUGCCACGCUCCGGAGGUAAUGAUGUAAUUGAGCGCUCA